This 497-nucleotide ribosomal RNA is filed under the name uncultured bacterium. Its description in RNAcentral is "partial 16S ribosomal RNA". It matches the Rfam family "Bacterial small subunit ribosomal RNA", at positions 28 to 507 of the family's 1533-position model. The record is from RNAcentral.
GAUGAACGCUGGCGGCGUGCCUAAUACAUGCAAGUCGAGCGAACGGACGAGAAGCUUGCUUCUCUGAUGUUAGCGGCGGACGGGUGAGUAACACGUGGAUAACCUACCUAUAAGACUGGGAUAACUUCGGGAAACCGGAGCUAAUACCGGAUAAUAUUUUGAACCGCAUGGUUCAAUAGUGAAAGACGGUCUUGCUGUCACUUAUAGAUGGAUCCGCGCUGCAUUAGCUAGUUGGUAAGGUAACGGCUUACCAAGGCAACGAUGCAUAGCCUACCUGAGAGGGUGAUCGGCCACACUGGAACUGAGACACGGUCCAGACUCCUACGGGAGGCAGCAGUAGGGAAUCUUCCGCAAUGGGCGAAAGCCUGACGGAGCAACGCCGCGUGAGUGAUGAAGGUCUUCGGAUCGUAAAACUCUGUUAUUAGGGAAGAACAUAUGUGUAAGUAACUGUGCACAUCUUGACGGUACCUAAUCAGAAAGCCACGGCUAACUACGUG